UGAGCGACUUAUUUCUUUUAAGGAUUUCAGCCUAUUCUUUUGAUGUAUCCAUUUGAAGAUUUGAGAUAGUCUAAGAUGCUUCAAAUGCGAUAUUGGUUCUCAGGCAUCAAGAGGCAUCAAGAGAAACAGAUGAAAAUUAUAUCUUACUUCGCUUCAACGCUAGGCUAGCAAAUGAUAUUUUGUCAUAAUUGAAUGUCACUUAUAGGCUGGAUGAGUCCCAAAACUCUCGAGAUCUUCACUAUGUUGCGCAGGUUAAGAAAUUGGAGAUUGGCGCAUUGGUCUUUAUUAGCGGUAUAGUCUGUGUCAAAAUUCUAAAAUUUGAACAGGCGAGAACCCGAAAUGGUAAUUCUCCUCCAUGGCUGCUAACAGAUUUUUCUAUCUAGAAAACAUGGUGGUAGAUAGAAUCACUUUAACCACUUCAAAGGACUUGGAAUAACGAGUUUCUACUAAAUGAGUACUCAUUUUUGUAUUGCCUAUAUAUGUACAAUACUGUACUGUAACUGGUAAAGUUGCUGCCAUGUAAGCAGAAGGUCACAGGUUCAAGCCUUGGUAGCUUUAGUGCACCGGGCUGCUCUCAUUUUUGUGUACCGUAACAAUUAAACACCUGAAAAUGGAGUUGGACAAGGUACUUUCUACAGAUAAAGAUAGCUUUAGUCUUUGCCAAUUAUGUGCAACGUAUAUUUCUUCUAGGAAGUAACCAGAGUCGUGGCACUCUACAUUUGUGGCCCGAUUCUUCCCAAGCCAUUUUCUAUUUUUCAAUUCAAUAGUUAGAUACUAAAAAAUAGUCUGGGAAGAAGAUCUUUCAACCAAAGUUUGGCUUUGGAGGUUCCAGAAAGAAGGAUCGUUCAAAGGUUUUCCCGGUACCACAGAUAGUGGAACUGCAAGGAAUUAGACCAUGCAAAUACAAGCUUGUUAAUUAACAUCCAGAAUAUAAGUUGGCAAUUGGGAGGAACUAAACCAGACAAUAAAAGUUGUUCAUUAUCAUUCAAAAGAAAUAGCUAAUUAUGCGUCUAGAUAAAUAAAUAGAAACAGAACUUUGACAGUAAUUCGCAGAACCUACUAAGAGACAGAACUGAUGAAGUCUUUUUUUUUUUUUUUUUUUAUAAUCGAAGAUAGAACUGAUGAUCUCAAGAUGCACUCUUGCUACCAGAAAGGCCAAUUACAGAACCAUUAUUGCAGAUGAGUCUAUCCAUGGAAACAAACUGAUGCAAAAGCCCAUAAUUGGUAUUGGCCAAACUUUAAACACCUUUUCAUUUAAAUGCCCCCUUUAAAUACAGAUAACUGAAAACUUCCCUUCUAGGAUUGCAUGUUCCUGAUAACUCUCAAAAUGAAUCUAGCACAUCAAUUAUAGAGAGAGUAUCAUUUGAGGAAUUCGGACAGUAUUGACAA
Molecule: long non-coding RNA, 1389 nt
Filed under: Capsicum annuum
Lineage: Eukaryota; Viridiplantae; Streptophyta; Magnoliopsida; Solanales; Solanaceae
Description: long non-coding RNA (CANN_LNC017761)
Source: RNAcentral